This 492-nucleotide ribosomal RNA is filed under the name uncultured bacterium. RNAcentral describes it as "partial 16S ribosomal RNA". It matches the Rfam family "Bacterial small subunit ribosomal RNA", at positions 29 to 507 of the family's 1533-position model. The record is from RNAcentral.
AGUGAACGCUGGCGGUAGGCCUAACACAUGCAAGUCGAACGGCAGCACAGUAAGAGCUUGCUCUUACGGGUGGCGAGUGGCGGACGGGUGAGGAAUACAUCGGAAUCUACUUUUUCGUGGGGGAUAACGUAGGGAAACUUACGCCAAUACCGCAUACGACCUACGGGUGAAAGCAGGGGAUCUUCGGACCUUGCGCGAUUGAAUGAGCCGAUGUCGGAUUAGCUAGUUGGCGGGGUAAAGGCCCACCAAGGCGACGAUCCGUAGCUGGUCUGAGAGGAUGAUCAGCCACACUGGAACUGAGACACGGUCCAGACGCCUACGGGAGGCAGCAGUGGGGAAUAUUGGACAAUGGGCGCAAGCCUGAUCCAGCCAUACCGCGUGGGUGAAGAAGGCCUUCGGGUUGUAAAGCCCUUUUGUUGGGAAAGAAAAGCAGCAGGUUAAUACCCCGCUGUUCUGACGGUACCCAAAGAAUAAGCACCGGCUAACUUCGUG